Tachysurus fulvidraco (yellow catfish) is the source of this 2329-nucleotide long non-coding RNA. RefSeq lists it as uncharacterized. The record is from RefSeq and is a predicted model, not a curated record. Lineage: Eukaryota; Metazoa; Chordata; Actinopteri; Siluriformes; Bagridae. The transcript is spliced from 3 exons.
GAAUCUUUCAUUCCAAUGUACAGAAACAUUUCUUGUAAAUACAGCUACAGGUGUAUAACGUUAUCUUCUUCAUUGUCGGGGUGGUGGUCCUCCAGUAGGGGCUUCCAUGGCGGUUUUAGUUGUGCUUCCUCCUCCUUUGGCAACAUUACGCUGAAAUACAGCGUGCGGAGCUGCGUGAUGCGAUCUAGGAGCAGUGAUUCGCCAAACCUCCCUUAUGCACCCGCUUCAAAUGUUCUCCUACUAUUGAAUGGAUGUUAUUCACUGGUUAAUGGGACCAUCGAUAUGGUCCAGUGGGGGGGAUGUUGUGGUUACUGGCUGUUAUCAUUUAUCAAAUGGUUAUUCAAUGAUACAACUACAAGAGAAGACUCCAGAUCCACUCAGAGGAAUCCAGUUCACCGAUGACUGGACGUCGACUGGAUAACGCGGCAGCGUUGGGGUAUUUCCUGGUUAAUCGUUUCAGCAUCAGUUUCCAACGGGGUUGACCAAAAGUACAAGAUCAUCUUUGGUGUUUGAAGAUGGCCCAGAGAGGUACAGUAAGUCUUACAAUUCCUAAUCUAGAGGCAUUAGGCGAGUGUGUCUGAGAAUGAUGGAGGUAAGGGAAAUCUGAGGUGAUUAUUAAUAAAAAUUAAGUUAGUGAGGUAACAUAAAUCUGAGGCGAUUAUUAAUAUAAACUAAAUUAGUGAGGUAACGUAAUUCUGAGGUGAUUAAUAAUAUUAACUAAGUUAGUGAGGUAAGGUAAAGCUGAGGCGAUUAUUAAUUUAAAAGAAGUUAGUGAGAUAAUGUAAAUCUGAGGCGAUUAUUGAUAUAAACUAAGUUAAUGAGGUAAUGUAAGUCUGAGGCGAUUAUUAAUAUAAACUAAGUUAGUGAGUCAAGGUAAAACUGAGGAGAUUAUUGAUAUAAACUAAUUUAGUGAGGUAUUGAUAUAAACUAAGUUAGUGAGGUAACGUAAAUCUGAGGCGAUUAUUAAUAUAAAUUAAGUUAGUGAGGUAACGUAAAUCUGAGGCGAUUAUUAAUAUAAACUAAAUUAGUGAGGUAACUUAAUUCUUAGGUGGUUAAUAAUAUAAACUAAGUUAGUAAGGUAACGUAAAUCUGAGCAAUUAUUAAUGGAAACUAAGUUAGUGAGGUAAUGUAAGUCUGAGGCGAUUAUUAAUAUCAACUAAUGUAGUGAGGUAUUGAUAUAAACUAAGUUAGUGAGGUAACGUAAAUCUGAGGCGAUUAUUAAUAUAAACUAAAUUAGUGAGGUAACAUAAAUCUGAGGCGUUAAUUAAUAUAACCAAAGUUAGAGAGAACGUAAAUCUGAGGCGAUUAUUAAUAUAAACUAGGUUAGUGAGAUAACAUAAAUCUGAGGCGAUUAUUGAUAUAAACUAAAUUACUGAGGUAACGUAAUUCUGAGGUGAUUAAUAAUAUAACCUAAGUUAGUGAGAUAAGGUAAAUCUGAGGCGAUUAUUAAUAGAAACUAUGUCAGUGAGGUAACGUAAAUCUGAGGGGAUUAUUAAUAUAAACUAAGUUAGUGAGGCAAGGUAAAACUGAGGCGAUUAAUAAUAUAAACUAAGUUAGUAAGGUAACGUAAAUCUGAGGUGAUUAUUAAUAUAACAAGUUAGUGAGGUAAUGUAAAUAUAAGGCGAUUAUUAAUAUAAACUAAGUUAGUGAGGUAACGUAAAUCUGAGGUCAUAAUUAAUAUAACCUAAGUAGGUGAGAUAAGGUAAAUCUGAGGCGAUUAUUAAUAUAAACUAAGUCAGUGAGGUAAGGUAAAUCUGAGGCGAUUAUUAAUUUAAAAGAAGUUAGUGAGAACAUAAAUCUGAGGAGAUUAUCAGUAUAAACUAAGUUAGUUAAGUAAUGUAAAUCUGAGGUGAUUAUUGAUAUAAACUAAGUUAGUGAGGUAAGGUAAAUCUGAGGCAAUUAUUAAUAUAAAUUAAGUUAGUAAGGUAACGUAAAUCUGAGGCGAUUAUUAAUAUUAACUAAAUUAGUGCGGUAACGUAAAUCUGAUGUGAUUAUUAAUAUAACCUAAGUUACUAAGGUAAUGUAAAUCUGAGGUGUUAUUAUUAUAAACUAAGUUAGUGAGGUAAUGUAAUUCUGAGGCAAUUAUUAAUAUAAACUAAGUUAGUGAGAUAACAUACAUCUGAGGCGAUUAUCACUAUAAAUUAAGUUAGUGAGGUAACGCAAUUAUGAGGCAAUUAUUAAUAUAAACUAAGUUAGUGCGGUAACGUAAAUCUGAUGUGAUUAUUAAUAUAACCUAAGUUACUAAGGUAACGUAAAUCUGAGGUGUUAUUAUUAUAAACUAAGUUAGUGAGGUAAUGUAAUUCUGAGGCAAUUAUUAAUAUAAAAUAAC